Molecule: ribosomal RNA, 252 nt
Filed under: uncultured bacterium
Lineage: Bacteria
Description: partial 16S ribosomal RNA
Rfam family: Bacterial small subunit ribosomal RNA
Source: RNAcentral
UACGAAGGGAGCAAGCGUUACUCGGAUUUACUGGGCGUAAAGGGUGCGUAGGCGGCCUGAUAGUCAGAUGUGAAAGCCCAGGGCUUAACCCUGGAACUGCAUUUGAUACUGUCAGGCUUGAGUAUAAGAGAGGUAAGUGGAAUUCCCAGUGUAGCAGUGAAAUGCGUAGAUAUUGGGAGGAACAUCAGUGGCGAAGGCGACUUACUGGCUUAUAACUGACGCUGAGGCACGAAAGCGUGGGGAGCAAACAGG